UGGGAUUUUGUGGACCAGAAGAUUUCCUCCAUUCGAUAAUAGCUACUGGCCUACUAAGUCCCAACUU
RNAcentral lists this microRNA precursor (67 nucleotides) under Aedes aegypti (yellow fever mosquito). RNAcentral's name for it is "Aae-Mir-193-P1_pre stem-loop". The record is from RNAcentral. Lineage: Eukaryota; Metazoa; Arthropoda; Insecta; Diptera; Culicidae.